GCUUAAUUGAUGCGUUUUCUCCACUUUCUUUUCUUGACAAGUUGAUUCGAAUUGAAAUGGUCUGUAACAAGGCUGUCAUGGGUCCUAGGAACAAGCAAACCCUCUCCUGGAGGUGGAAAACAGCACGUUUUGUAUUUCUCUCUGAGCAGAGUGACCGGUGGCAGGUGUGUCAGCAGCUGACAGCUUUAGCUGGGCUGCAGCACCCACCUGCAGCCCAUGGCGUGGCCUCACCCUGGUGCCUCCAAAAGCUGGCAGGAGGCCUUCAGCUGAAUUCUUAAGGCAUUACCAUGGGAAUUUUCCCUUUCUGGGGAUUGUAACAGAGCUCCAGGACUAGUUGUUUUUGUGAUGUGCUUCUUGACUGGCUGGAGCGGCCCUUAUUCAGGAACUCCAUCCAAGCAUCUCCUGCAGAGAAUGAAACCAUCAGCUGUCCUCGAAGCGGUGCUCCAUACUGCGGUGACACACAACGGUGAGUCGUGCGGUGGUUGGAUCUUGGAUUUUAACAUGCUCAAAGCAGAGCCAGGAGCAUCCAUCUCACCGUAUCGCCGCAUGAAGUGGGAUACAUCAAACGCGUCCUUCGGAGAGGAGCAGUGCUGACCUUAUGACACCCAGAGGAGACUAUCUGCUGUCCUACCAGCGAUGAGGAAUUGGCACAGCUCUGCUGGGCUCGAGGAGAGAGAAAUACUGAGCUUUCAAGAGCUGCUGCACUGCAUCCCACUACAACAUGAGGAGCCCUUAGGUGCAGGAAGAUUCUCAGUGAGAACAAUUGUUUUUGAGUGGAGAAGCUAUUGUGUGGUGCUGGGAAGAACUUUGGCAUUAAAAGCAAACCCAAAUUCCUUCCAGAGUAACCUGGAGAAGCUCAGAAACCCUCUGCUACUCACCUCCCAGCCUCAGGCUGCAAGGCAAGUGGUGAAUUUGCUGAUAAUUCAUAUUCGAUUAGCUUUAAUAUGUUCUAAUUCACUGGUAGGAGCGAGAGAGGCCUGGUGGGCUGCAGACAGAUAUCGCACUGAUUAG
Molecule: long non-coding RNA, 1011 nt
Filed under: Phasianus colchicus (ring-necked pheasant)
Lineage: Eukaryota; Metazoa; Chordata; Aves; Galliformes; Phasianidae
Description: lncRNA (ENSPCLG00000006248.1)
Source: RNAcentral